GUACUCGCGAAUCNUCUAGAUUAGAGUUUGAUCCUGGCUCAGAAGCUGAACGCUGGCUGGUAANGCCUAACACAUGCAAGUCGAACGGCAGCACAGAGNGAGCUUGCUCCUUGGGUGGCGAGUGGCGGACGGGUGAGGAAUACAUCGGAAUCUACUCUGUCGUGGGGGAUAACGUAGGGAAACUUACGCUAAUACCGCAUACGACCUACGGGUGAAAGCAGGGGGAUCUUCGGACCUUGCGCGAUUGAAUGAGCCGAUGUCGGAUUAGCUAGUUGGCGGGGUAAAGGCCCACCAAGGCGACGAUCCGUAGCUGGUCUGAGAGGAUGAUCGGCCACACUGGAACUGAGACACGGUCCAGACUCCUACGGGAGGCAGCAGUGGGGAAUAUUGGACAAUGGGCGCAAGCCUGAUCCAGCCAUACCGCGUGGGUGAAGAAGGCCUUCGGGUUGUAAAGCCCUUUUGUUGGGAAAGAAAUCCAGCUGGCUAAUACCAGGUUGGGAUGACGGUACCCAAAGAAUAAGCACCGGCUAACUUCGUGCCAGCAGCCGCGGUAGUACGAAGGGUGCAAGCGU
RNAcentral lists this ribosomal RNA (572 nucleotides) under uncultured bacterium. RNAcentral describes it as "bacterial SSU rRNA". It matches the Rfam family "Bacterial small subunit ribosomal RNA", at positions 1 to 541 of the family's 1533-position model. The record is from RNAcentral.